CAGGGGGCCCGGCCUCGUCUGGGAGCGCACCGCGGGUUUGUCCAGCGCGGAGGGAAUUCCAGAAUCCCUGAAACACAGAGACGCAAAGUCACAAAGAUGUUGUUAAAUGUUAAGGAAAGAACACUGAGCCUAUUGAGCCCUGAAAGCGUUUCCAUUUCUCCUUUGAUAUCCUGAUUUUCUUGACUGAAUGCCUGAGAACACAAUUGUACACAUACUUUUGUUUCUGGAUGCUGAUGACCUCCAACAGCUGUCAAAACUGUGCAAGAACUUCCAACAGCUAUGUAACAAUGAAGAAGUUUGGGAGAGGAUUUAACUGCUAAGAGGGAAACCAGCACUUGGUAAGAUGACAUUUUCAGUCUUCAAGAACUUCAAUGAAAAACUCAAGUGGAGGCACAGAAGACAGAUAGAAUGCCUCUAAGUCACUUAGAAAUUAUCAGACAAGAUUCUGGCUUCCCAUUUGUUUCAGAUACUUUUUCUUUCUAAUGAAACAGUUAUAAAUAAGUAACUUGAGAAUUUUAAGUCUCUCCUCUCCUCAUAUAAUACUCAAACAACACCACCAACUCACAAGUAAUUUUCUACAGAUUUUCAACAUUCCAUCAAGUUUGGGGAGGGAAGUACUACUCCAUUUUCCUUUUUAGGCAUAUUUUAUUCUGAUGUUCAAUAUUAUUUUGUGCCCAGUGAGUGGGUUUUGUCAUGUUCAUAUUUCACGCUUUUUGUUUGGGCUGUUCAGUUGCAGUACUGCAAAUAAAUGCCAGCAGACAAACUGCCUUCAGCAUGAAGAGGAGUGUUGGCUUAACCAUGAAUGGACCUCCAAAGACUCUUCACAAACAACUUUGAGCCAUUUGGUAUUAAAUUAAAAGAAGCAACAGAA
This is a long non-coding RNA of Passer domesticus (house sparrow), 871 nucleotides long. RefSeq lists it as uncharacterized. NCBI's taxonomy places the organism in Eukaryota, Metazoa, Chordata, Aves, Passeriformes, Passeridae. The record is from RefSeq and is a predicted model, not a curated record. The transcript has 3 exons.